Molecule: long non-coding RNA, 308 nt
Organism: Rosa rugosa (rugosa rose)
Lineage: Eukaryota; Viridiplantae; Streptophyta; Magnoliopsida; Rosales; Rosaceae
Exons: 3
Source: RefSeq, a predicted model, not a curated record
UACAAGCCCUUAGUAAGCUUCCAUCUUGGUUUCUUCUACCUUUUCAUUUUCACAAUUCAACAAAGAUUGAAACUUUUUUUUUUUUUUUUUUGGAUUUUUGUUGGCCACUGUCAGAUUAUUCUGAUUGAAUUGAUUGUGCACAAGAAGAAAGCUUAUACCCAUUUCCUCUACAAUUUGAUUUUCUCACAAGCUCCCGCCUUUGAGGGUUUAUUGUGGAAGAAAUCCUCCAACACUGUGGCCCUCAAGGUUGGAUUCUUCUAGGAGCACCUCCCAUGUUUGUCUCAAUGACUGGAUAUUAGAUGAUAUUG